RNAcentral lists this small RNA (78 nucleotides) under Flavobacterium sp. 1. Its description in RNAcentral is "Flavo-1 RNA". It matches the Rfam family "Flavo-1 RNA". Lineage: Bacteria; Pseudomonadati; Bacteroidota; Flavobacteriia; Flavobacteriales; Flavobacteriaceae. The record is from RNAcentral.
UUUUAGCCCCGGUUGAAGUGGAAAUCCUUAUGGUCCGGGGUUCGGAACAUAAGAUUAUAACGGAAAACGGGACGAUGC